Physella acuta is the source of this 213-nucleotide long non-coding RNA. RefSeq lists it as uncharacterized. Lineage: Eukaryota; Metazoa; Mollusca; Gastropoda; Physidae. The record is from RefSeq and is a predicted model, not a curated record.
CCAGAGCCAUUAUGAACAGUGGGGGGAACUGAGGGGGAAGGUGUGUGUGGAAGGUUACGAGGACAAGGUCAUGUCUUUACAGUGUGUCCGGGAUCACACUUUUGGUACUCGUGACUGGAGAGAUAUCCAUAGAUAUAUCAUCAUGUUUAUUUAUGUCGAGACAGGGAUGACCAUUCAGGUGGGGAUAGUUUCCCAGCCCAAUUUGAUGGCACA